CUGGCUCAGAUUGAACGCUGGCGGCAGGCCUAACACAUGCAAGUCGAACGGUAACAGGAGAAGCUUGCUCUUGCUGACGAGUGGCGGACGGGUGAGUAAUGUCUGGGAAACUGCCUGAUGAGGGGGAUAACUACUGGAAACGGUAGCUAAUACCGCAUAACGUCGCAAGACCAAAGAGGGGGGACCUUCGGGCCUCUUGCCAUCGGAUGUGCCCAGAUGGGAUUAGCUUGUUGGUGGGGUAACGGCUCACCAAGGCGACGAUCCCUAGCUGGUCUGAGAGGAUGACCAGCCACACUGGAACUGAGACACGGUCCAGACUCCUACGGGAGGCAGCAGUGGGGAAUAUUGCACAAUGGGCGCAAGCCUGAUGCAGCCAUGCCGCCGUGUAUGAAGAAGGCCUUCGGGUUGUAAAGUACUUUCAGCGGGGAGGAAGGGAGUAAAGUUAAUACCUUUGCUCAUUGACGUUACCCGCAGAAGAAGCACCGGCUAACUCCGUGCCAGCAGCCGC
RNAcentral lists this ribosomal RNA (508 nucleotides) under uncultured bacterium. RNAcentral describes it as "bacterial SSU rRNA". It matches the Rfam family "Bacterial small subunit ribosomal RNA", at positions 19 to 518 of the family's 1533-position model. The record is from RNAcentral.